This 510-nucleotide ribosomal RNA is filed under the name uncultured bacterium. RNAcentral describes it as "partial 16S ribosomal RNA". It matches the Rfam family "Bacterial small subunit ribosomal RNA", at positions 28 to 507 of the family's 1533-position model. The record is from RNAcentral.
GACGAACGCUGGCGGCGUGCUUAACACAUGCAAGUCGAACGAAGAGCGACGGAAGCUUGCUUCUAUCAAUCUUAGUGGCGAACGGGUGAGUAACGCGUAAUCAACCUGCCCUUCAGAGGGGGACAACAGUUGGAAACGACUGCUAAUACCACAUACGAUCUAAUCUCGGCAUCGAGGAUGGAUGAAAGGUGGCCUCUACAUGUAAGCUAUCACUGAAGGAGGGGAUUGCGUCUGAUUAGCUAGUUGGAGGGGUAACGGCCCACCAAGGCGAUGAUCAGUAGCCGGUCUGAGAGGAUGAACGGCCACAUUGGGACUGAGACACGGCCCAGACUCCUACGGGAGGCAGCAGUGGGGAAUCUUCCGCAAUGGACGAAAGUCUGACGGAGCAACGCCGCGUGAGUGAUGACGGCCUUCGGGUUGUAAAGCUCUGUUAAUCGGGACGAAAGGCCUUCUUGCGAAUAGUGAGAAGGAUUGACGGUACCGGAAUAGAAAGCCACGGCUAACUACGCG